UACGAAGGGUGCAAGCGUUAAUCGGAAUUACUGGGCGUAAAGCGCGCGUAGGUGGUUCAGCAAGUUGGAAGUGAAAUCCCCGGGCUCAACCUGGGAACUGCUUUCAAAACUGCUGAGCUAGAGUACGGUAGAGGGUGGUGGAAUUUCCUGUGUAGCGGUGAAAUGCGUAGAUAUAGGAAGGAACACCAGUGGCGAAGGCGACCACCUGGACUGAUACUGACACUGAGGUGCGAAAGCGUGGGGAGCAAACAGG
RNAcentral lists this ribosomal RNA (253 nucleotides) under uncultured bacterium. RNAcentral describes it as "partial 16S ribosomal RNA". It matches the Rfam family "Bacterial small subunit ribosomal RNA", at positions 524 to 776 of the family's 1533-position model. The record is from RNAcentral.